ACACACUUCAUUGAUGUCAAGGAAAACUUUCACCUUGUGUGAAGAUUGCUACCAUGUUUUUCCUGGUGAAAGAAAUCCGUUCCUUUUGCUUUUGUGUUGCUUGUAGAAAAUCAGCACAUCUGAGGGGGCUGCAUCUGGUAAGGAGGGCAUGGAUGCAGCAGGUGAGGCCUGUGCUAGCCAAGGUAUCAGAAUCUGCUGCUCAACAAGAGAAGUGUUUGGGGGCAAAGAACCAGCCAAGGUUGGCCUGUCAUUGGUGAAUUCGUAUGUCAUGGGCAACAUGAAUUCUGAACCUAGAAAGCUUUCAUUUGAAGCAGCUGACCUUUCAUUUCAACAUACCUGCAGGAAGCCCUAG
Molecule: long non-coding RNA, 352 nt
Filed under: Phasianus colchicus (ring-necked pheasant)
Lineage: Eukaryota; Metazoa; Chordata; Aves; Galliformes; Phasianidae
Description: lncRNA (ENSPCLG00000005789.1)
Source: RNAcentral